Molecule: ribosomal RNA, 752 nt
Filed under: uncultured Mycoplasma sp.
Lineage: Bacteria; Bacillati; Mycoplasmatota; Mollicutes; Mycoplasmatales; Mycoplasmataceae
Description: bacterial SSU rRNA
Rfam family: Bacterial small subunit ribosomal RNA
Source: RNAcentral
GAUGAACGCUGGCUGUGUGCUAAUACAUGCAUGUCGAGCGGAAGUAGCAAUACUUUAGCGGCGAAUGGGUGAGUAACACGUGCUUAAUCUACCUCUUAGAUUGGAAUACCUAAUGGAAACAUUGGUUAAUGCCGGAUACGCAUGGAGUCGCAUGACUCCGUUGUGAAAGGGGCCUUUAAAGCUCCACUAAGAGAUGAGGGUGCGGAACAUUAGCUAGUUGGUGAGGUAACGGCCCACCAAGGCUAUGAUGUUUAGCCGGGUCGAGAGACUGAACGGCCACAUUGGGACUGAGAUACGGCCCAAACUCCUACGGGAGGCAGCAGUAGGGAAUAUUCCACAAUGAGCGAAAGCUUGAUGGAGCGACACAGCGUGCACGAUGAAGGUCUUAUGGAUUGUAAAGUGCUGUUGCAAGGGAAGAAAAAGUAGUUGAGGAAAUGCUUCUACAUUGACGGUACCUUGUUAGAAAGCGAUGGCUAACUAUGUGCCAGCAGCCGCGGUAAUACAUAGGUCGCAAGCGUUAUCCGGAAUUAUUGGGCGUAAAGCGUUCGUAGGCUGUUUAUUAAGUCUGGAGUCAAAUCCCAGGGCUCAACCCUGGCUCGCUUUGGAUACUGGUAAACUAGAGUUGGAUAGAGGUAAGCGGAAUUCCAUGUGAAGCGGUGAAAUGCGUAGAUAUAUGGAAGAACACCAAAGGCGAAGGCAGCUUACUGGGUUUAUACUGACGCUGAGGAACGAAAGCGUGGGGAGCAAACAGG